AUUGAACGCUGGCGGCAUGCCUUACACAUGCAAGUCGAACGGCAGCACGGGAGCAAUCCUGGUGGCGAGUGGCGAACGGGUGAGUAAUACAUCGGAACGUGCCCAAUCGUGGGGGAUAACGUAGCGAAAGCCACGCUAAUACCGCAUACGAUCUACGGAUGAAAGCGGGGGAUCGCAAGACCUCGCGCGAAUGGAGCGGCCGAUGGCAGAUUAGGUAGUUGGUGAGGUAAAGGCUCACCAAGCCUGCGAUCUGUAGCUGGUCUGAGAGGACGACCAGCCACACUGGGACUGAGACACGGCCCAGACUCCUACGGGAGGCAGCAGUGGGGAAUUUUGGACAAGGGGCGCAAGCCUGAUCCAGCAAUGCCGCGUGCAGGAUGAAGGCCUUCGGGUUGUAAACUGCUUUUGUACGGAACGAAACGGUCCUUUCUAAUACAAGGGGCUAAUGACGGUACCGUAAGAAUAAGCACCGGCUAACUACGUGCCAGCCGCCGCGGUAA
Molecule: ribosomal RNA, 500 nt
Filed under: uncultured bacterium
Lineage: Bacteria
Description: partial 16S ribosomal RNA
Rfam family: Bacterial small subunit ribosomal RNA
Source: RNAcentral